ACUCCUACGGGAGGCAGCAGUGGGGAAUAUUGCACAAUGGGCGAAAGCCUGAUGCAGCGACGCCGCGUGAGGGAUGACGGCCUUCGGGUUGUAAACCUCUUUCAGCAGGGAAGAAGCGAAAGUGACGGUACCUGCAGAAGAAGCGCCGGCUAACUACGUGCCAGCAGCCGCGGUAAUACGUAGGGCGCAAGCGUUGUCCGGAAUUAUUGGGCGUAAAGAGCUCGUAGGCGGCUUGUCGCGUCGGUUGUGAAAGCCCGGGGCUUAACCCCGGGUCUGCAGUCGAUACGGGCAGGCUAGAGUUCGGUAGGGGAGAUCGGAAUUCCUGGUGUAGCGGUGAAAUGCGCAGAUAUCAGGAGGAACACCGGUGGCGAAGGCGGAUCUCUGGGCCGAUACUGACGCUGAGGAGCGAAAGCGUGGGGAGCGAACAGGAUUAGAUACCCUGGUAGUCCACGCCGUAAACGGUGGGCACUAGGUGUGGGCAACAUUCCACGUUGUCCGUGCCGCAGCUAACGCAUUAAGUGCCCCGCCUGGGGAGUACGGCCGCAAGGCUAAAACUCAAAGGAAUUGACGGGGGCCCGCACAAGCGGCGGAGCAUGUGGCUUAAUUCGACGCAACGCGAAGAACCUUACCAAGGCUUGACAUACACCGGAAACGUCCAGAGAUGGGCGCCCCCUUGUGGUCGGUGUACAGGUGGUGCAUGGCUGUCGUCAGCUCGKGUCGUGAGAUGUUGGGUUAAGUCCCGCAACGAGCGCAACCCUUGUCCCGUGUUGCCAGCAAGCCCUUCGGGGUGUUGGGGACUCACGGGAGACCGCCGGGGUCAACUCGGAGGAAGGUGGGGACGACGUCAAGUCAUCAUGCCCCUUAUGUCUUGGGCUGCACACGUGCUAC
Molecule: ribosomal RNA, 888 nt
Filed under: Streptomyces sp.
Lineage: Bacteria; Bacillati; Actinomycetota; Actinomycetes; Kitasatosporales; Streptomycetaceae
Description: bacterial SSU rRNA
Rfam family: Bacterial small subunit ribosomal RNA
Source: RNAcentral